Molecule: unclassified non-coding RNA, 373 nt
Filed under: uncultured bacterium
Lineage: Bacteria
Description: contains 16S-23S intergenic spacer region
Source: RNAcentral
UCCGGUUUGUCACCGGCAGUCCCAUUAGAGUGCUCAACUAAAUGUGGCAACUAAUGGCAAGGGUUGCGCUCGUUGCGAGACUUAACCCAACAUCUCACGACACGAGCUGACGACAACCAUGCACCACCUAUCGCAGGCCCCGAAGGACACCGUAUCUCUACGGCUUUUCCUGCAUAGUUCAACCCAGGUAAGGUUCUUCGCGUUGCAUCGAAUUAAGCCACAUACUCCACCGCUUGUGCAGGCCCCCGUCAAUUUCUUUGAGUUUCAGCCUUGCGGCCGUACUCCCCAGGCGGGGCACUUAAUGCGUUAGCGACGGCACUCAGGGGGUCGCUCCCCCAAGCACCUAGUGCCCAUCGUUUACGGCGUGGACUAC